UACGAAGGGGGCUAGCGUUGCUCGGAAUUACUGGGCGUAAAGGGAGCGUAGGCGGACAUUUAAGUCAGGGGUGAAAUCCCGGGGCUCAACCUCGGAACUGCCUUUGAUACUGGGUGUCUUGAGUGUGAGAGAGGUGAGUGGAACUCCGAGUGUAGAGGUGAAAUUCGUAGAUAUUCGGAAGAACACCAGUGGCGAAGGCGACUCACUGGCUCAUUACUGACGCUGAGGCUCGAAAGCGUGGGGAGCAAACAGG
RNAcentral lists this ribosomal RNA (253 nucleotides) under uncultured bacterium. RNAcentral's name for it is "partial 16S ribosomal RNA". It matches the Rfam family "Bacterial small subunit ribosomal RNA", at positions 524 to 776 of the family's 1533-position model. The record is from RNAcentral.